GCAAUCUUUGAAGGGAAAUACCUCAUCAUUGUUUUGACUACUGUAACUCAAAUAAUCAGCAUAAUAUGUGGAAAUAAUGAUACUAUCCCAGACAGCAAAAGAAAUGAGCAGGAAUUAUUCCUGUUUCUAAAUUCACAAAUGUAAUUUGUGGAGGGUGGUAGAGAGACAAGUCUGGAAAGAUAACAGCAGAACAGCUUAAGGAACUGCUAGUUCCCUAAAUCACUUAAGAGAUCUUUGUAAAAUUUUCUUUGGCAGGGACAGAGUCCCAAGUUUUGAAGUGUUUCUGCAUUUGGAAAUGAUCAAUUAUGUUGUUUUUGAGAAACAUUUGGAAAACUUUGGCUUUUCGUGUCCUAAUUAUGAACAAAAGGUUAUAUUAGGUAUGGGAAUUAAUUUAUGUGACAAGAUUUGCACGACAGAAAAAUAGUCAACAUCCUUGACUGGUAUUGGACUGACAUUCAAAUUCAAGAGAAGAAUUUUCUAAUCUAUUUCUUAGAAAUGGGGCUACUACAGUUCAGCUGAGCUUUUAUUCUUGUAGCGUUUGGGACUUCCAAGCAUUCAACUCAUGGACUUGCAGAUGCAACACAUCUUGGGAAUGCAAGGAAGUUGAUGCCUCUCCUCCUAUACUGGCAGUUCCAAGGAUGUUAAAUACUAUUGACAUGUUAUCAAGAGCAAGUUUCAAAAAGCUCCUUGUACUAAGUAGCAUUAAUAUGCAUGUACAGUUACAUUCACCUGGGACAGCUGCUGAACACUACAUCACUUCAAGUUGUACAAAAUUAAAUUUGGCAAGACUGUAG
RNAcentral lists this long non-coding RNA (794 nucleotides) under Coturnix japonica (Japanese quail). Its description in RNAcentral is "lncRNA (ENSCJPG00005008396.1)". The record is from RNAcentral. Lineage: Eukaryota; Metazoa; Chordata; Aves; Galliformes; Phasianidae.